RNAcentral lists this unclassified non-coding RNA (214 nucleotides) under Echinoderma asperum. RNAcentral describes it as "partial internal transcribed spacer 2". Lineage: Eukaryota; Fungi; Basidiomycota; Agaricomycetes; Agaricales; Agaricaceae. The record is from RNAcentral.
ACAUAUCAACCCUUCCAGCUUCUUUGGAGGCUGGUUUGUGGCUUGGAUGCUGGGGGUAUCUUUGCUGGCCUCUCAAGGUCGGCUCCCCUGAAAUGCAUUAGCGGAACCGUUUGCGGGUCUGUCACUGGUGUGAUAAUUAUCUGCGCCAAAGAUGGACGUGCUCUCUGUCUGUUCAGCUUACAAUAGUCCUGUUUACUUGGACAACUUAAUUAAU